Molecule: long non-coding RNA, 377 nt
Organism: Oreochromis aureus
Lineage: Eukaryota; Metazoa; Chordata; Actinopteri; Cichliformes; Cichlidae
Exons: 3
Source: RefSeq, a predicted model, not a curated record
UGACAAACAUUGUUAGCACGACUGCCAAACCAUCCAGACCUGGCUAUAUAUGUCUUGGCUCCCCUGGACCUAUGAGGUUUCCACCGAAGGCCAAGAUUGCUCUCAGUAAAGAGCUGACCUAGUUGCUUGACACCAGUGCAUUGCUGAUGGACAGCAACACCUCUAGGUGUGUCUGUGAUGUCAAAAAGCUGACUGAGAUCAUGCUGGAGCCAAAAGAAAGAAAGAAAGAAAGAAAAGGAGUGGAGGAGAGUGAUCUGAUGCGCAGAGAUAAAGUCAGCAGGGGACAGAGUUUUAAUGAAGCCUGCCUCUCAAUGGAGUAAAGGCUAGAUGUUCUCUUCAGUGGGGCUGUAAAGUGAUCCAGGUCUGAUAUUUCCCGG